GUAGGGAGCAAGCGUUAUUCGGAAUUAUUGGGCGUAAAGAGCGCGCAGGCGGUUCGGUAAGUCUGACGUGAAAUCCCAGAGCUUAACUCUGGAACUGCGUUGGAUACUGCCGAGCUUGAGUGUGGGAGAGGAGAGUGGAAUUCCCAGUGUAGAGGUGAAAUUCGUAGAUAUUGGGAGGAACACCCGAGGCGAAGGCGGCUCUCUGGACCACAACUGACGCUGAGGCGCGAAAGCUAGGGUAGCAAACGGGAUUAGAUACCCCGGUAGUCCUAGCCGUAAACGAUGGGCACUAGGUGUUGGAGGUAUCGACCCCUCCAGUGCCGCAGCUAACGCAUUAAGGUGCCCCGCCUGGGGAGUACGGUCGCAAGACU
RNAcentral lists this ribosomal RNA (371 nucleotides) under uncultured bacterium. RNAcentral describes it as "bacterial SSU rRNA". It matches the Rfam family "Bacterial small subunit ribosomal RNA", at positions 527 to 895 of the family's 1533-position model. The record is from RNAcentral.